AGCGAAUAGAUACCCAGGUAGUCCAUGCCGUAAACUAUGGAUACUAGCUGUUGGGGGUAUCGACCCCUCCAGUAGCGAAAGCUAACGCGUUAAGUAUCCCGCCUGUGGAGUACGAUCGCAAGAUUAAAACAUAAAGGAAUUGACGGGGACCCGCACAAGCGGUGGAGCGUGUUCUUUAAUUCGAUGCUAAACGAAGAACCUUACCAGGGCUUGACAUCCCUUGAAUUACUCCGAAAGGAGUGAGUGCUUUAUUGAGCAAGGUGACAGGUGAUGCAUGGCCGUCGUCAGCUCGUGUCGUGAGAUGUUUGGUUAAGUCCAUCAACGAGCGCAACCCUUAUACUUAGUUGUAUUUUUC
This 355-nucleotide ribosomal RNA is filed under the name uncultured bacterium. RNAcentral's name for it is "bacterial SSU rRNA". It matches the Rfam family "Bacterial small subunit ribosomal RNA", at positions 771 to 1125 of the family's 1533-position model. The record is from RNAcentral.